This 782-nucleotide ribosomal RNA is filed under the name Vreelandella aquamarina. Its description in RNAcentral is "bacterial SSU rRNA". It matches the Rfam family "Bacterial small subunit ribosomal RNA", at positions 62 to 841 of the family's 1533-position model. The record is from RNAcentral. Lineage: Bacteria; Pseudomonadati; Pseudomonadota; Gammaproteobacteria; Oceanospirillales; Halomonadaceae.
UCGAGCGGUAACAGAUCCAGCUUGCUGGAUGCUGACGAGCGGCGGACGGGUGAGUAAUGCAUAGGAAUCUGCCCGGUAGUGGGGGAUAACCUGGGGAAACCCAGGCUAAUACCGCAUACGUCCUACGGGAGAAAGGGGGCUUCGGCUCCCGCUAUCGGAUGAGCCUAUGUCGGAUUAGCUAGUUGGUGAGGUAACGGCUCACCAAGGCCACGAUCCGUAGCUGGUCUGAGAGGAUGAUCAGCCACAUCGGGACUGAGACACGGCCCGAACUCCUACGGGAGGCAGCAGUGGGGAAUAUUGGACAAUGGGGGGAACCCUGAUCCAGCCAUGCCGCGUGUGUGAAGAAGGCCCUCGGGUUGUAAAGCACUUUCAGCGAGGAAGAACGCCUAGCGGUUAAUACCCGCUAGGAAAGACAUCACUCGCAGAAGAAGCACCGGCUAACUCCGUGCCAGCAGCCGCGGUAAUACGGAGGGUGCAAGCGUUAAUCGGAAUUACUGGGCGUAAAGCGCGCGUAGGUGGCUUGAUAAGCCGGUUGUGAAAGCCCCGGGCUCAACCUGGGAACGGCAUCCGGAACUGUCAAGCUAGAGUGCAGGAGAGGAAGGUAGAAUUCCCGGUGUAGCGGUGAAAUGCGUAGAGAUCGGGAGGAAUACCAGUGGCGAAGGCGGCCUUCUGGACUGACACUGACACUGAGGUGCGAAAGCGUGGGUAGCAAACAGGAUUAGAUACCCUGGUAGUCCACGCCGUAAACGAUGUCGACCAGCCGUUGGGUGCCUAGCGCACUU